This 206-nucleotide ribosomal RNA is filed under the name uncultured bacterium. RNAcentral describes it as "partial 16S ribosomal RNA". It matches the Rfam family "Bacterial small subunit ribosomal RNA", at positions 568 to 774 of the family's 1533-position model. The record is from RNAcentral.
CGUGUAGGCGGUCUGUUAAGUCAUGUGUGAAAUCCCUCGGCUCAACCGGGGAACGACGCAUGAAACUGACAAGCUAGAGUACCAAAGAGGGGGUGGAAUUCCCGGUGUAGCGGUGAAAUGCGUAGGUAUCGGGAGGAACACCGGUGGCGAAGGCGGCCCCCUGGUUGGAUACUGACGCUGAGACGCGAAAGCGUGGGGAGCAAACA